RNAcentral lists this ribosomal RNA (1050 nucleotides) under Amolops viridimaculatus (Dahaoping sucker frog). RNAcentral describes it as "partial large subunit ribosomal RNA". It matches the Rfam family "Bacterial large subunit ribosomal RNA", at positions 866 to 2607 of the family's 2925-position model. The record is from RNAcentral. Lineage: Eukaryota; Metazoa; Chordata; Amphibia; Anura; Ranidae.
GAGUCUCAGCUCUACCUUAAUUUUAUUAUUGUAACAAACAAAGCACUAAAUUUAAGAGCUAUUCAAAUAAGGCACAGCUUAUUUGAAGCGGGGUACAACCCCAAAUACCGGGUUAACCUAGAUAUAAUAAAUAAAGUGGGCCUAAAAGCAGCCAUCUUCUAAAAAGCGUUAAAGCUUAAUAUACCUCUAUCUACAAUUCCACAAUUUUCAAACAACCCUUCACUACUACUGAACUAUUUUAUAAUUUUAUAAAAGCCAUUAUGCUAGAACUAGUAACAAGAAAUUGCCCUUCUCCUAAAUGUAUAUUUAAACCAAGAUGGACCUACCACUGGUAGUUAACGCAAAUGUAAAAAAUCAUAGCACCACACGACUAGAAAACCCUAUGAUUUCCUCGGCGUUAACCUUACACUAGAGCAUUACAGGAAAGAUUAAAAGAGAAAGAAGGAACUCGGCAAAUUACAGUCCCGCCUGUUUACCAAAAACAUCGCCUCUUGACCAAUUAUAAGAGGUCCAGCCUGCCCAGUGACAUAGUUUAACGGCCGCGGUACCCUAACCGUGCGAAGGUAGCAUAAUCACUUGUUCUCUAAAUAGGGACUCGUAUCAAUGGCAUCACGAGGGCUGUACUGUCUCCUUUCUCCAAUCAGUGAAACUGAUCUCCCCGUGAAGAAGCGGGGAUUGACCUAUAAGACGAGAAGACCCCAUGGAGCUUUAAACCCAAUACACACCCCCUACGCACUCAAAUCAACAUAGCCCAAGAAAAUUGUGUAUCGGUUUUAGGUUGGGGGGACCGCGGAGUAAAAUCAAACCUCCACGACAGACGGAUUAAUACCCUUAUCCACGAACUACAAUUCUAAGAACCAAUAAAUUGUUGUCUAAUGACCCAAUUACUUGAUCAACGAACCAAGUUACCCUGGGGAUAACAGCGCAAUCUACUUCAAGAGCCCCUAUCGACAAGUAGGUUUACGACCUCGAUGUUGGAUCAGGGUAUCCUAGUGGUGCAGCCGCUACUAAAGGUUCGUUUGUUCAACGAUUAAAACCCUACGUGAUCUG